CUCCAUUGGCCGGUUUCGCAGAUACAGAUAAAUCAUAGUCUAGGACUAAAAGAAGUUCAUUAGAGAAAUCCAUUGGGCUUGUUUUUUAGUCCUAGGCUAUAGGCUUAAUCUGUGUCUGCGAAACCGGCCCCCAUGGGUAUUACAUUUAAAUCCUGGACUAGUCUUAAUCGGUUUUAGUGGAAACCGCCCCAUACGGUGCAGUCCAUUCCAGCCUCCAUUCGAAUUCCCGCUCGCACGAUUUAAUGCAUUUCCCAUUUGUCCUGACAUCACACAUUCAGAAUCCUUCUCGACACACGUAGCGGGUGGGAGGAACGACUGUGCACGUGAACCCACUACAACUCCGCCUUGACCUACCGGUAUUUUCAGACCAGCUUUGAUCCGUGAGAAAACGACUGUUUUACACACUUGGCGCUGUGCUUUUGAUGGCGUUCUUGCAGAGGACUGGAGAUUACUGCCACGCUCAACAUCCCAGGGCAUAGGCGGCCGAUCCAGUGACCAGGGGGAGGAUGACCACUGCUCUGCCCUCACCGCAGACCAAGCUGCACUGAUCCCUGGGUGAAACAGGACCCCCC
Esox lucius (northern pike) is the source of this 572-nucleotide long non-coding RNA. Lineage: Eukaryota; Metazoa; Chordata; Actinopteri; Esociformes; Esocidae. The record is from Ensembl.